RNAcentral lists this ribosomal RNA (345 nucleotides) under uncultured bacterium. RNAcentral describes it as "partial 16S ribosomal RNA". It matches the Rfam family "Bacterial small subunit ribosomal RNA", at positions 338 to 701 of the family's 1533-position model. The record is from RNAcentral.
CCUACGGGAGGCUGCAGUGGGGAAUAUUGCACAAUGGGCGAAAGCCUGAUGCAGCAACGCCGCGUGAGCGAUGAAGGCCUUCGGGUCGUAAAGCUCUGUCCGCAAGGAAGAGAAUGACGGUACGUGAGGAGGAAGCACCGGCUAACUACGUGCCAGCAGCCGCGGUAAUACGUAGGGGGCUAGCGUUAUCCGGAAUUACUGGGCGUAAAGGGUGCGUAGGUGGUUUCGGAAGUCAGAGGUCAAAGGCUACGGCUCAACCGUAGGAAGCCUUUGAAACUGGGACACUUGAGUGCAGGAGAGGUGAGUGGCAUUCCUAGUGUAGCGGUGAACUGCGUCGAUAUUAGG